UAACACUAACUGGAGGACCGAACCGACUAAUGUUGAAAAAUUAGCGGAUGACCUGUGGCUGGGGGUGAAAGGCCAAUCAAACCGGGAGAUAGCUGGUUCUCCCCGAAAGCUAUUUAGGUAGCGCCUCGUGAAUUCAUCUCCGGGGGUAGAGCACUGUUUCGGCUAGGGGGCCAUCCCGGCUUACCAACCCGAUGCAAACUGCGAAUACCGGAGAAUGUUAUCACGGGAGACACACGGCGGGUGCUAACGUCCGUCGUGAAGAGGGAAACAACCCAGACCGCCAGCUAAGGUCCCAAAGUCAUGGUUAAGUGGGAAACGAUGUGGGAAGGCCCAGACAGCCAGGAUGUUGGCUUAGAAGCAGCCAUCAUUUAAAGAAAGCGUAAUAGCUCACUGGUCGAGUCGGCCUGCGCGGAAGAUGUAACGGGGCUAAACCAU
RNAcentral lists this ribosomal RNA (435 nucleotides) under Salmonella enterica subsp. enterica serovar Derby. RNAcentral describes it as "partial 23S ribosomal RNA". It matches the Rfam family "Bacterial large subunit ribosomal RNA", at positions 757 to 1190 of the family's 2925-position model. Lineage: Bacteria; Pseudomonadati; Pseudomonadota; Gammaproteobacteria; Enterobacterales; Enterobacteriaceae. RNAcentral also lists the same sequence under 6 other names. The record is from RNAcentral.